CCAUCGGUGGUUCAGUAUUAGAAUGCUCGCCUGCCACGCUGGCGGCCCGGGUUCGAUUCCCGGCCGAUGCA
RNAcentral lists this transfer RNA (71 nucleotides) under Cordylochernes scorpioides. RNAcentral describes it as "tRNA-Gly". It matches the Rfam family "tRNA". Rfam says of the family: Transfer RNA (tRNA) molecules are approximately 80 nucleotides in length. Their secondary structure includes four short double-helical elements and three loops (D, anti-codon, and T loops). The record is from RNAcentral. Lineage: Eukaryota; Metazoa; Arthropoda; Arachnida; Pseudoscorpiones; Chernetidae.